RNAcentral lists this ribosomal RNA (459 nucleotides) under uncultured bacterium. RNAcentral describes it as "partial 16S ribosomal RNA". It matches the Rfam family "Bacterial small subunit ribosomal RNA", at positions 338 to 795 of the family's 1533-position model. The record is from RNAcentral.
CCUACGGGUGGCUGCAGUGAGGAAUAUUGGUCAAUGGGCGCGAGCCUGAACCAGCCAAGUCGCGUGAGGGAAGACGGUCCUAUGGAUUGUAAACCUCUUUUGUCGGGGAGCAAAAGACGCCACGCGUGGCGUUCCGAGAGUACCCGAAGAAAAAGCAUCGGCGAACUCCGUGCCAGGAGCCGCGGUAAUACGGGGGAUGCGAGCGUUAUCCGGAGUUAUUGGGUUUAAAGGUGGCGCAGGCGGACGAUCAAGUCAGCGGUAAAAUUGGGGGGACCAACCUCUUCGAGCCGUUGAAACUGGUUGUCUUGAGUGAGUGAGAAGUAGGCGGAAUGCGUGGUGUAGCGGUGAAAUGCAUAGAUAUCACGCAGAACUCCGAUUGCGAAGGCAGCAUACCGGCGCUCAACUGACGCUCAUGCACGAAAGUGUGGGUAUCGAACAGGAUUAGAUACCCGAGUAGUC